AGUGAACGCUGGCGGUAGGCCUAACACAUGCAAGUCGAACGGCAGCACAGUAAGAGCUUGCUCUUACGGGUGGCGAGUGGCGGACGGGUGAGGAAUACAUCGGAAUCUACUUUUUCGUGGGGGAUAACGUAGGGAAACUUACGCUAAUACCGCAUACGACCUACGGGUGAAAGCAGGGGAUCUUCGGACCUUGCGCGAUUGAAUGAGCCGAUGUCGGAUUAGCUAGUUGGCGGGGUAAAGGCCCACCAAGGCGACGAUCCGUAGCUGGUCUGAGACCAUGAUCAGCCACACUGGAACUGAGACACGGUCCAGACUCCUACGGGAGGCAGCAGUGGGGAAUAUUGGACAAUGGGCGCAAGCCUGAUCCAGCCAUACCGCGUGGGUGAAGAAGGCCUUCGGGUUGUAAAGCCCUUUUGUUGGGAAAGAAAAGCAGCAGGUUAAUACCCCGCUGUUCUGACGGUACCCAAAGAAUAAGCACCGGCUAACUUCGUG
Molecule: ribosomal RNA, 492 nt
Filed under: uncultured bacterium
Lineage: Bacteria
Description: partial 16S ribosomal RNA
Rfam family: Bacterial small subunit ribosomal RNA
Source: RNAcentral